GUUCCUCUGCUUUCGGCUGAGUUUGCUGAUUCAACUGCAAUUCAGCUGGAUGUUGACCAAAGCAGUCAGAGGAAAAUUUCUUCCGCGUUCAGCACCAAGUGUGCCGUCGUCACACUUUCACCGGUGCCAUGCGUCCUGGCUUCGGUUCGGUGGGAGCAGACAAGGGCCAGCCUAGGAAGACAGUUUCGCCACCUACCUUGGAGCUUCAAGCUAUCAGAACCAAAGCACCCAUGAAGCAGAAACCAGCAGCCCAAAUUAAAACCGGAUGCAAAGGUGUCAGGUCUCCAC
Molecule: long non-coding RNA, 288 nt
Filed under: Rattus norvegicus (Norway rat)
Lineage: Eukaryota; Metazoa; Chordata; Mammalia; Rodentia; Muridae
Description: long non-coding RNA NONRATT033536
Source: RNAcentral